GUGAGGAAUAUUGGUCAAUGGGCGCAAGCCUGAACCAGCCAUCCCGCGUGCAGGAAGACGGCGCUAUGCGUUGUAAACUGCUUUUCCAGGGAGAGAAACUUGCGCACGUGUUGCGCAAUUGACGGUACCCUGGGAAUAAGCAUCGGCUAACUCCGUGCCAGCAGCCGCGGUAAUACGGAGGAUGCGAGCGUUAUCCGGAUUCAUUGGGUUUAAAGGGUGCGUAGGCGGACUAUUAAGUCAGUGGUGAAAUCCCGCAGCUUAACUGCAGAACUGCCAUUGAUACUGAUAGCCUUGAGUUUGGUUAAGGUAGGCGGAAUGUGUAAUGUAGCGGUGAAAUGCUUAGAUAUUACACAGAACACCAAUUGCGUAGGCAGCUUACUGAGCCGACACUGACGCUGAGGCACGAAAGCGUGGGGAUCGAACAGGAUUAGAUACCCGGGUAGUCC
Molecule: ribosomal RNA, 446 nt
Filed under: uncultured bacterium
Lineage: Bacteria
Description: partial 16S ribosomal RNA
Rfam family: Bacterial small subunit ribosomal RNA
Source: RNAcentral